Molecule: long non-coding RNA, 4992 nt
Organism: Seriola aureovittata
Lineage: Eukaryota; Metazoa; Chordata; Actinopteri; Carangiformes; Carangidae
Exons: 5
Source: RefSeq, a predicted model, not a curated record
AAAAGGAAAAACAUAGACGUGGUAAGAACAUUUUUAUAGCCUUUCAUAUUUUAGAUCAUCCCUUUCUAAAAAGGAAGAGGUUGUGUUUGAUAACACAAGGCAUGUCUUGCAUUAGCUAUGAUGAAGCAAAUUAAGCUACAAACCAUCAAGUCCUCAUCAAUGUAGCCCAGAGGUAGUGGGGCUGAAAUAACACUUAGGAGCUUAAAAUCUGCUCAAUUCUUUUCUUAGUUUCUUCUGCCGUCACUUUCUGAGCAACGUGUCUACACUCUUUUCUACUUUCCUCCCUUCCUAAUGAGAGCUCCUCACCUCUUGUUAGUGGCUAGAUGAGUUUGACGUCAGACACAGCUGGAUUCUUAACAGGAUUACAGUUCCCCUGGCUGUGCCGCUUUGGCCUACCUACACCCCUACUGCCUGCACCGCAUUCCUGCCUGCCACACGGCAUCUUUACCCAUAUACCCUGCUGAUACAGUCUUAAAGUAAAACAGGUGUGUUUUCAAAAAAUAAGCUCUGCAGUUGCUCAUUAUUUUCUUUAAUGCUGUCUUUACUGGAAUAUGUUUCUCAAAUUAAUGAUCUGUACCUUGCAUUGAGUGAAAAGUCAACUUGUCUUUUUCAAAAAUCUCAAAACAAAACACGAUUCAAGUGCUGUGCUUAGGUGAUUAAUGUUCUGUUUUUGAAACACAUUUUAAGUCUAAUAAUCAUAAUGUCUUUCUUCCAAUUUUCACGCAGUAGAGGCAGAGCUUCCCAGUCAUAAGUGACACUUCACAGAUCAUUCAUUUUUGGUAAAUUUGACUAAAAUUUGAACAAUUUUGGAGUGUUCAAAGAGCCAAAGUUAAUUUUUUAACACACAUUAGCAACCUCCUGCAGGUCACCUUCUCUCCUGUUCUAUCACUGUCCAUAGAUAUCCUGUCUUCAGUCACAGCUUUAGGAGAGAGCCCAAGGACCUGGCUGCCAACAUUAACUCCCUGCUGCACAUUCUUCCCAGCACUGCUGAUCUACUAACGUCUACUUACAUCACGUUUUUCUACCUUGUGCCUGGCAGUUCAGCCAACUAAAUUUUUUCCCCCAUAAUGAGCAUAACCAGUGUGCCCUUCAAUCCCCUUUUAAACCAUGCUGUGGUAUCAUAACAGCUUGUGCAGCUGCAACCUGCUUCAAAUCCAAUACAAUACAUUACACUACAAUUUGUUUGACCCAGAAGUUACUCAGGCUCUGUGUUGCUACAGCCGUGUUUAUAGCAACAGUUGAAGCAGAGCACAUUUUUCAAAGCUACUAACCACCAGGGAAGGCUGGACUAUGUAAAGGGGCCGACACCGCAUAAGCGUCUAGCUGGCCGGCUGGCUGAUUGAUUGGCACACUGUUCUUAGCCAUUACAUUACACCACCAUGACUCAACCACAGAACCAUCCCAGUUAACACUUGCAAUGUCCCAGUGGUGUAGAGUUGCACCAAGUCCCUCAGUGAAGGAGACCAGCACUCUGUUGCGAAAAGUUGAAGAGCAGAGAGCAGAGCAAGAGAUCUGAGGACAUCACCUGGAGGACCAACAAUGACGCUGUGUACAAGAGGGGCAUUUCCUAAUUUCUUAGGAAGCUUAGAUCUAACAAUAUAUGUAGGAAGAUGCUGGAGAUCUUCUACCAUCUACUGUGCUGUGCUGCGUUGCACUUUACAACAGCCCACCUCUAUGUGACAGUUAUCUUCAGUAUGCAACCAGUCGUCUUACCCAGAUGUCAAGCUGCGGGCCCUCAUACUGCUGUCCCUCAAAAACCUCUGGAGCAGCAUAAGGCGGGCUGCCGCACCAUGUGGCCAGAGGCUCCCCAGGCUGGAAGAAAUUCCCAAAUCCAAAAUCUACAUAACACAGAACACCAGAGGUUUGCUCCGUUGAUGUCAUGUGCGUCUGAGCAUCAAACACGAUUUAUCAACAGAAUGUGAUCACUGUAUUUGUUUUUGGAGCAGCAGGAUCCAGAUCUGCCACUACAACACUCAUUAUCAUCAUUGUGUAUACUACUGUCCAUGGUCUCUCUCUCUCUCUCACUCUCUCUCUUUCUCCUCCCUCAACCCCUCUUUCUGCUCUCGAACCCAACCAGUCAAGGCAGACGGCCUCUCACCAUGAACCUGGUUCUGUUGGAGGUUUCUUCCUUUUCGCCAAAUGUUCGCUCCUUGUAGGAACUGUUGGGUUUCUCUCUAUAACAAAAAAGGUCUUGACCUUACCCUGUAAAGUGCUGUGAGAUAAUGUAUAUUGUGAUUUGGCACAGUUGAAUUUAAUUGAAUAUAAUCAGAGAUAAUAAAGGAAUAGCUGCUAGGAAAAAGUCUCCGUCUACUUUCAUUUCAUGGUAUACUGUAUGUAAUAUAUGUCAUAUUGUACAACCACAGUGUUUUCCUUUUGUUUCUUUAAAGAACAAUCCAUGUGUAUAGAUGUAAAAGUAGUUAGAAACUGUUUCUCCACCAACUCUACUUGAUCUGGAGAUUGUUUGUACUCACUACAUUGUUUAAUUGAGCAUGAAACACCUUUCAAGUUUGGCGAAUUUCCAAUGGCAUCACUGUGUUGAUGGCUUCAACCUUGAAAAAUUCAAAUAUAGUUAAUGAAGCUAUAAAUGCCUGGUGACGGUUUCAUGAUAUGAGACAACUUACAACAUAUCAGAUAUUGUUUUUGAAAGUGGUUCUCCUAGGUUCUCUUGGUCACAUAGGUUGCCCUCCUCGCUUCCACUGAUCCAGCAACUUGCUUUUGUUUUUGUUAUUUCUCCUCUGCAAUUUCCAUUCCCUUCAAUCUGUCAACUUGAACGUAAAGAGGCUGUUUGAAGUGAAAACAUGAAGGGCACCCCCUGCUGCUGCUGUUCCCCUCUCCGCUGCAGCCACCAUGAGCAUGACCUUUCUUUGACUGACCACUGCCUGGUUAAGCUUCAUACAGACUGACCAGUGGUGGCCUUUAAAAAGCAGGGAGGCAUAACUGGAUUGCAGAAAAACCCCUGAAGCAUAGGUACUCUGUCUGCCCAUGCAUAUUCAGACUAGUGCUGCAACGAGAAACAGAAAACUAAUUGUAAAUUUUAAUAAUCAACUGUUCAUCAAUCAAAAAUGACCAAAUAUUCAUUGGUGCUAUUCAAGUUCACAAAUGUGAGAAUUUCCUGCUUUUACUUGUUAAAUAUCAUUGUAAACUGAAUAUCUUUGGAUUUUGGACUCUUUGUCAACAAGGCUGAGUUAAUAAUAUAUGAAACAUUUAAAAUAAAUAUACCAAAAAGUGUCAAACGCAACAUUAAAAUAAGAUAAAAUAUGGGAAGCAUAACAGGAAUAUAAUUUUAAAUAAAGUUGAAUGGAAUUAAAAUAUUCAAACGAUUAAAUAAAAGCAAGGAUAUAGACUUUUUUUUUUUUUUUAAAAAGCAAGAUGAAAAAGGUGAUAAGAUGAUUUUUUCUAGAAAAAAAAGGAGAUGUGAGUCAAUGGGCCUAGACAAAACAACUACCAAAAUACCUGAACAGUCCAAUCCAUUUCUUGUUGUUAGUUACAGUCCUAUCCAAUUUGCAUUUAAAGUCUAAAAAUAAUCAACAGAUGAAUGAAAAUGAAAAUAACUAUUAGAUGAAGCUCUAGAUGCAGAUUAGCCCUGCAUGAACACAGACAGACAUGGAAAUCUUUACUCCUCUUGGUUGAAUGGAUGACUGCUCUAAACUGACAUCAAUGUGACUAAUGCAGUUGGAAAAUUUGAAGUCGGGACCUUCUUUCUCACGUACAGUAUGAAUCUGACAUGUUUUCUUCAUGUACCAUUUACUAAACAUGUCAGAGAACAUAAUGGGUAAAAGAGGUACAAAAUGUACUUUGCUGCUGAUGUUCUCCCUAGAGAAGUUUUCUCUAAUCAUAAGCCAGGUAAUGUUCUGUUCAUUGUUUUUCUGCUUCAAAUCUAAUCUGCCGUGCGGACAAUCGGCUGUGAGUCAGACAUGUUUGUGAAAAUUACUGCUGGGGUAAUAACAUCUCCAGGUUAUCAUCUUGGACCCUUCUGAGAAACAGUGGACAGGAUGAUGCGAGCAAUGAUGCAGGCGGAACAUUCGGUUCUCUAUCAGUUAUUGUACAGUUCUGUCUAAUUUGCCCUCAUCUGAUUUUAGCUCUUAGAACAAAUAAAUGAAGGUUAACUGGGGUGAGCAUCUGUCAGUUUCCCUCCAUGAAGUAACAUUUAUCAGACCAAUAAACAAUGAUUUUAUUUCGUCUAUUUGAAGGUCAUGAUGUGAAGUCCUUUGAGAACAAGAGGGCAUUUUCCCUGAAGCACACAAACUCAAUGUUUCUGGUAUCCAUUCACACCUUUAUUUUUAGCCAUCCUCAAGUGAUCAGCUCACCUUAGAUGUAUUUCGGUAUCAGCUCUGAAUAAAGCCUAAGAUAAACCUUGGCCUUUUUCAGAGCAUUGCCACAGCUGCAGCUCUGCCACCCUGCUAUGCACUGGUCCUCAUUAUUCUUCCUUCAUCCUCUCAUCUGUUACUCUGUCUCCCAAAUAGCCAAUGCAUUUUUUCACCUCCCCUCCUCCUCCAAUUAAACCCAAACUCUUUCCUUCCACUCCCUCCCAGCCUCCCCCUUCUCCACUCUUGGACACAGCAGUAGGGUGAUAUUCUCACUAGCCAGCUCUAAAUGCCAGUUGCUUAAUAAUCACACUUUGAAGCUUGUACUACAGACCUCCAGCUUACUCUCAAAUCUCUGCCUCUGGGUCUGUUCCUCUUUUUGUCCUUUAUCUUUAAUGUUUCCACCUCAAAAUUAAAGCAAGGGGUCACUGGGGAGGGAUUUUUUAUCUCCUCUGAUCAUCAGUUUUGAAAAGGUGGCACAAUCCUUUCCUCUAGCUUGAGAUUUUUAGAUGUCCGUCAUGGCAUCUUUCAGCCAACAGCUAUCUCGCAAGCAACCUCAGACCACUUCUCAACAUUGUGCAAAUGGCCUGGGCAGGCGGUUAAGACAUUUCAGAACUACACCAGCAAAGAGAUCAUGACAGGCAAUGGAUCAAAACUAGAUCAUUCCAUGCAGACAUCCAGUAUUUCU